CUUGUCUUUGGGGUUUCAGGCGCGAACACUUUAGGAUGGGGGAAACCUCGAUAACGGAAAACCCAGUGCCAGCAACAAAUGUCAAGUCCCGACGAUAUACAUCAUCUGUGCACUUUAUU
RNAcentral lists this ribosomal RNA (119 nucleotides) under uncultured archaeon. RNAcentral's name for it is "partial 16S ribosomal RNA". The record is from RNAcentral.